GGACGAACGCUGGCGGCGUGCCUAACACAUGCAAGUCGAGCGGAGAUAUUUUCUGGAAGUUUUCGGAUGGAAGGGGAAUAUUUUAGCGGCGGACGGGUGAGUAACGCGUGAGCGAUCUGCCUUACACAGGGGGAUAACGUGGGGAAACCCACACUAAUACCGCAUAAGACCACACAGUCGCAUGGCAGGGGGGUCAAAGGAGAGAUCCGGUGUAAGAUGAGCUCGCGUCCUAUUAGAUAGUUGGUGAGGUAACGGCCCACCAAGUCAACGAUGGGUAGCCGACCUGAGAGGGUGAUCGGCCACAUUGGAACUGAGAGACGGUCCAAACUCCUACGGGAGGCAGCAGUGGGGAAUAUUGGGCAAUGGGGGGAACCCUGACCCAGCAACGCCGCGUGAGGGAAGAAGGUUUUCGGAUUGUAAACCUCUGUCCUUGUUGAAGAGUUGAAGACGGUAGGCAAGGAGGAAGCCCCGGCUAACUACGUGCCAGCAGCCGCGGUAAUACGUAGGGGGCGAGCGUUGUCCGGAAUGAUUGGGCGUAAAGGGCGCGUAGGCGGCUGUUCAAGUCUGGAGUGAAAGUCCUAUUUUCAAGGUAGGAAUGCCUUUGGAAACUGAGCAGCUUGAGUGCAGGAGAGGUUAUCGGAAUUCCCGGUGUAGCGGUGAAAUGCGUAGAGAUCGGGAGGAACACCAGUGGCGAAGGCGGGUAACUGGACUGCAACUGACGCUGAGGCGCGAAAGUGUGGGGAGCAAACAGGAUUAGAUACCCUGGUAGUCCACACUGUAAACGAUGAAUGCUAGGUGUAGGGGGUAUCGACCCCUUCUGUGUCGGAGUUAACGCAAUAAGCAUUCCGCCUGGGGAGUACGGCCGCAAGGUUA
This 873-nucleotide ribosomal RNA is filed under the name uncultured Clostridia bacterium. RNAcentral's name for it is "bacterial SSU rRNA". It matches the Rfam family "Bacterial small subunit ribosomal RNA", at positions 27 to 896 of the family's 1533-position model. Lineage: Bacteria; Bacillati; Bacillota; Clostridia. The record is from RNAcentral.